Molecule: long non-coding RNA, 2294 nt
Organism: Phacochoerus africanus (Common warthog)
Lineage: Eukaryota; Metazoa; Chordata; Mammalia; Artiodactyla; Suidae
Exons: 2
Source: RefSeq, a predicted model, not a curated record
GCGACCGACCGUCUAACACUCUGGACCCUCAGCAUCUGGGAGGAGAGGUCUUCAGGGCGCCAGGGAGGCCGUGCAGGAUCCUGAGAGCCUGAGGGAAGCAGAGGGACGGGCUUCCCAGUGUGGAACCAGGGAAAACAAAAGCAAAAAUAAACAAAUGGGACUACAUAAAACUAUAAAGCUUUUGAAGAGUGAAGGAAACUGUCAACAAAAUGAAAAGGCAGCCUACCCAACGAGAAAAUAUAUCCCAUAAGGGGUUAAUAGCUAAAAUAUUCAAAGAACUCAUGCAACUCAACAUAAAAACAAUAAACAACCAGAUUAAAAAAUGGGCAGAGAACCUGUCAAAAAGAUAACAAACCAAUAAGAGCUGGUAACGGAGGAUGUGGAGACACAGGCAGACCUGUGCACUGUGGUGGGAUGUAAACUGGUUGCAUCCACUGUGCAAAACAGUAUGAAGAUUUCUCAAAAAAUUACAAACUGAACUAUGGUAUGAUCCAACAUUUCCACUUCUGGAUAUUUCUAAAGAAAAUACAAACAUUAAUUUGAAAAGGGAGUGAACUUCCUCUGCUCCAAGGCUAAUUACUCACCACAGCAAAACAGGAAAUGAAAUGUUGAGAAGAGAAGCCAUUAACCCAAACAAAGUGAGAAACGACAUUCUAGAGGCCCCUCAAAACGGAAAGCACAAUGCAAGUGGCCAAACUACAUGGGAAGCAGCACUCCAGGGGCCAGGAGCUGGCAACAGAGGACACCCACAUAAACUCCAACUUCCGCCACAACGGGUGGCACAGGUACAGGACGACUCACCACCACGAUCUGGGAUCAGCAAGGAGAUGGUAGAACACAACGGGCUCCUGUAGGCACCUGACUCAAAUCCAAGGCAGCGUGAGAGUUGGUGCGGGUGUUUGAAGUUCACUGCAUCCCACUUAUGACACAUGUAAUGCCAACCAAAGAGGAAUGCAGGAAGCUGCAAGGAAGAAGAGAGUUUAUUUGGGGUCUUAAGCGCAAUUUAGGAGAUAAAAUUCGAGUAAAACCAAAAGUGUUCCGGGGAGGAGAGUCAGGGGCUUUCAAAGAAUAAGCUAUGAGUUUGUUAACGCUGCCUCACCAGAAUUAUUAUUGAGUCUGAUACAGUUUAGGAAGUAUUUGUCCUUAAGCAAUCAGGAGUUAUUUUAGGUUAAGAGUCCAGGAAGUAGAUAGGCUGUCACAAUUUAUUUUAGGGAUAGGGUUUGAUGAGUAUCUUGAGUUUCUGAUAGAUAUUUGGAUGAUUUCAUUAGGACGAUAACCAGUCAAAGAGUAGAUUCUAUCUGAUGCCCAAGUCACCCUUCCUUAACGGCCUCCUGGGCCCAUUUUCAGGAGCUCUCACUAAUACUGACUCCACUGUGAUUUCCCUUCGCGACAGUAACCUGUCUGCCAGACAAAUGUAGGAAGAACCUUUUAGGACAGGUGGUGCUAUCAAAUUCCUGACUUUUUUGUUUGUUUUCUGGGCCUAUUUCUUCAUUUUAGUCUAAACCUAGACUAAACAGUUUUGACAGUUUCAACACAAAGAAUGAGAUGGAAGUUUCAGAAACCAAGAGAUAGACCUGCCGAAAGAUUAUUCUGCUGUCUCUGUGCUUCAUAGAGACGUAUUUAAAAGCCAUAUUUAAAAGUAAUUGAAAUUACCCAUAUAGUUUCAGUUCUGAGCCACCACGGCAGCCUGCUGCUCAGCUUUCCUUCACAGUGGAUCCUGCUCUGAGGAGUGUAGCUGGGCAGCAGCGCCCCAGCUGUGCUGCCUUGGGAGCCAGCAGAGAAUCCCAAAAGCCACACUCUGGGCAGGCUGAGCAUGGCAUGAGUCCAAGAGCUAGGUGACUAGUUAUUGUUUAUCUUCACAACAUGUAGCUGCAUCUUCAACCUACACGACAGCUCAAGGCAACGCUGGAUCCUUAACCCACUUAGCAAGGCCAGUUAUCGAACCCGCAACCCAUGGUUCCUAGUCAGAUUUGUUAACCACCACGCCACGACGGGAACUCCAAAAGCUGCUUCUUUAAAAGAAAAAAUACAAAAACAAAAAACAGCCGCACUUGUGGCAAAUGAAGUUCACAAGCUAGGGACUGAACUGGACUUGCAGCUGAAGCCUGCACCCCAGCACAGUAACACCGGAUCCAAGCCACAUCUGCAGUCUAUGCCACAGCUUACAGCAAUGCCAGAUCCUUAACCCACUGAGUGAGGCCAGUGAACGAACCUGCAUAAUCACAGAGAUAAUGUCAAGUCCUUAACCCAUCAAGCCCCAAUGGGAAUUCCUGUGAUACAGCUUUAUAUAUAUU